GUUGGAAGAUUGAAGGGGGCUGCUCCUAGUACGAGAGGACCGGAGUGGACGAACCUCUGGUGUUCGGGUUGUGUCGCCAGACGCAUUGCCCGGUAGCUAAGUUCGGAAUCGAUAACCGCUGAAAGCAUCUAAGCGGGAAGCGAGCCCUGAGAUGAGUCUUCCCUGAUACUUUAAGUAUCCUGAAGGGUUGUUCGAGACUAGAACGUUGAUAGGCAGGGUGUGUAAGCGCUGUGAGGCGUUGAGCUAACCUGUACUAAUUGCCCGUGAGGCUUAACCAUACAACACCCAAAGGGUUUUG
Molecule: ribosomal RNA, 298 nt
Filed under: Vibrio sp. 03_296
Lineage: Bacteria; Pseudomonadati; Pseudomonadota; Gammaproteobacteria; Vibrionales; Vibrionaceae
Description: partial 23S ribosomal RNA
Rfam family: Bacterial large subunit ribosomal RNA
Source: RNAcentral